GACGAACGCUGGCGGCGUGCCUAACACAUGCAAGUUGAGCGACGAACCAGGGCUUGCCCUGGGGCAAAGCAGCGAACGGGGGAGUAACACGCGGGUAACCUACCCCGAUAACCGGGACAACCCGAGGAAACUCGGGCUAAUACCGGAUGUGCUCACUGGACUUCGUUUCAGUGCGUAAAGGAAGCUUCGGCCUCCGUAUCGGCAGGGGCCCGCGGCCCAUUAGUGUGUUGGUGAGGUAACGGCGCACCAAGGCCGCGGUACGUAGCUGAUCUGAGAGGACGAUCCGCCACACGUGGGAGGAGACACGGCCGAGACGCCUACGGGAGGCAGCAGUAGGGAAGCGUCGGCAAAGGACGAAAGUCUGACCGAGCAACGCCGCGGGAGUGAAGAAGGGGUUCGGAUCGGAAAGCUCUGUUGGAAGAGAAGAACGGGUGGGAGAGGGGAAAGUGCACACUGUGACGGUAUCUUACCAGAAAGGGACGGCUAACUACGUG
RNAcentral lists this ribosomal RNA (494 nucleotides) under uncultured bacterium. RNAcentral describes it as "partial 16S ribosomal RNA". It matches the Rfam family "Bacterial small subunit ribosomal RNA", at positions 28 to 507 of the family's 1533-position model. The record is from RNAcentral.